CUGAUAUCGUAUCGAUAUCAAAAAGUGCUCCUGUUGAGUGAUUCCCUCUGGUGUCGGAAAAUGUCUCCCCUCCAGAGUGUGUCUACAAGUUUACAAGUUAAUAAAUUUUAUUGAUAAAUUGUUUCCUUUUGUUUGUUUUGUCUAAAUCACAGUUAAAUUUUGUAAUGCUGGUAUUGAAAAUAAAAGAUUGAAAUGAGGAAAAAUUAGGAGGAAGAAGACUUCAUAGACCUCACAUAAAGAAACACUUUGAGUUGAACAUAAUCAUGCAAGAAAAAAAAGAAAAAGACAAAUUCAAUUCUCUCUAUCAUCAUCAUGGUAAUCAUCGCCAUAAUCAACAUGAUCAAGUUAACGUGUUGUCACGCACAAAAAUCGACUCUCAACAACCAUCGUAACAAUCAAUGUACCCAAUCAAUAAAAUACAAAGACUUGUUCAUAAUCAGUGUAAUAUGGCAAUAUGGAUACAUCUUUUACACAAUAGCAAGAUGAGUAUUUAAUUAAAUUACUUGAUGACAUGAUGAAUACUGUGCAACACUAUUACUCAGUACUUUACUACUUUAAUACAUCCGCACCUUUAGUUAUAUAAAUAGUUAACAUUAAUAACAAAAUAAUUUAGCUCAGUUUUUUUACAUUGCAAAUGAAAAGUUGUAAUUAUUAGUGCGCUCAUCAUUCCUACUGAUUGAUGUUGAUUGUGGAUCACUAAUAUCAAAUAAAUUUGGGUGCUCCUUUAGCUGUCAUCAAUAAUGAUCAUCAAAAAAAUAUGUUAACCUCAACCAAACCCAUUUGAUUGACCCUCGGUCAAAAGGUUAAUACGGAAGGUACAAUUAACAAUGUAUUAAAACACUAAUGUCUACUUCUUUUGUAAUGAAAUGAAGGUUAAUUUUUGGUUAGAAAUAUAAUUUGCUAAUAGAAUUCUUGAAUCAAUCUUGACAGAGGAAAGGUUUUUGAAAUUGUUGAAAAAAUAUUUUCGCAUGAUGGAACCACAAUCAGUUUUCAUUGCACGUACUUACAGUUAGAUUAGUAUUUUUAUUUUUGAUGAAUAAUAAUCGUCAAAACUUUUACUUUUCCCUCCUUUUACUCAUUACUUUCAACUUCGUCAUCAUCAUUUAAUUGUGUUUUUUACACAAAAAAUAAACUUCGUUACGCGUCUUUUAAUUCACCAAUUAUCUUCUUCAUCUUCUUGCCUCUAAUUAUCAAGGCUCACAAUUGAUCGGCUCAAUGAUUACAACUUGACUUGAUCUUCGCCAUCGUCUUCGUCUUAUUAUCCAUUUCUACAUUUAACCUUGUCAUUGAGCCCAGGUCAAUAACAGCUCAAUUGGUCACAAUUCAAAGCUGAAAAGAUCCACCGACCUCCAACAAUGUCAGCGAUCAAAGGACAAUUUAUUAUUAACCAUGGAAAGCAAACAAAAGGAAACUUCAACAGAUACCUGUUGAUACAAUUAGCCAUUGAGAUAUUGCCAUUUCAAACUAAAGCAAUGAUAAAUGUCCACAAAUUUCGAUGAAAUAUCUAUUAAGAAUCACCAAAGAUGGACACAAUUCA
Non-coding RNA from Tetranychus urticae (two-spotted spider mite), 1537 nucleotides. The record is from RefSeq and is a predicted model, not a curated record. Lineage: Eukaryota; Metazoa; Arthropoda; Arachnida; Trombidiformes; Tetranychidae.